GGGUUGUGAGGUUAAGCGACUAAGCGUACACGGUGGAUGCCCUGGCAGUCAGAGGCGAUGAAGGACGUGCUAAUCUGCGAUAAGCGUCGGUAAGGUGAUAUGAACCGUUAUAACCGGCGAUUUCCGAAUGGGGAAACCCAGUGUGUUUCGACACACUAUCAUUAACUGAAUCCAUAGGUUAAUGAGGCGAACCGGGGGAACUGAAACAUCUAAGUACCCCGAGGAAAAGAAAUCAACCGAGAUUCCCCCAGUAGCGGCGAGCGAACGGGGAGGAGCCCAGAGCCUGAAUCAGUGUGUGUGUUAGUGGAAGCGUCUGGAAAGGCGCGCGAUACAGGGUGACAGCCCCGUACACAAAAAUGCACAUGCUGUGAGCUCGAUGAGUAGGGCGGGACACGUGGUAUCCUGUCUGAAUAUGGGGGGACCAUCCUCCAAGGCUAAAUACUCCUGACUGACCGAUAGUGAACCAGUACCGUGAGGGAAAGGCGAAAAGAACCCCGGCGAGGGGAGUGAAAAAGAACCUGAAACCGUGUACGUACAAGCAGUGGGAGCCUCUUUUAUGGGGUGACUGCGUACCUUUUGUAUAAUGGGUCAGCGACUUAUAUUCUGUAGCAAGGUUAACCGAAUAGGGGAGCCGAAGGGAAACCGAGUCUUAACUGGGCGUUAAGUUGCAGGGUAUAGACCCGAAACCCGGUGAUCUAGCCAUGGGCAGGUUGAAGGUUGGGUAACACUAACUGGAGGACCGAACCGACUAAUGUUGAAAAAUUAGCGGAUGACUUGUGGCUGGGGGUGAAAGGCCAAUCAAACCGGGAGAUAGCUGGUUCUCCCCGAAAGCUAUUUAGGUAGCGCCUCGUGAAUUCAUCUCCGGGGGUAGAGCACUGUUUCGGCAAGGGGGUCAUCCCGACUUACCAACCCGAUGCAAACUGCGAAUACCGGAGAAUGUUAUCACGGGAGACACACGGCGGGUGCUAACGUCCGUCGUGAAGAGGGAAACAACCCAGACCGCCAGCUAAGGUCCCAAAGUCAUGGUUAAGUGGGAAACGAUGUGGGAAGGCCCAGACAGCCAGGAUGUUGGCUUAGAAGCAGCCAUCAUUUAAAGAAAGCGUAAUAGCUCACUGGUCGAGUCGGCCUGCGCGGAAGAUGUAACGGGGCUAAACCAUGCACCGAAGCUGCGGCAGCGACGCUUAUGCGUUGUUGGGUAGGGGAGCGUUCUGUAAGCCUGCGAAGGUGUACUGUGAGGUAUGCUGGAGGUAUCAGAAGUGCGAAUGCUGACAUAAGUAACGAUAAAGCGGGUGAAAAGCCCGCUCGCCGGAAGACCAAGGGUUCCUGUCCAACGUUAAUCGGGGCAGGGUGAGUCGACCCCUAAGGCGAGGCCGAAAGGCGUAGUCGAUGGGAAACAGGUUAAUAUUCCUGUACUUGGUGUUACUGCGAAGGGGGGACGGAGAAGGCUAUGUUGGCCGGGCGACGGUUGUCCCGGUUUAAGCGUGUAGGCUGGUUUUCCAGGCAAAUCCGGAAAAUCAAGGCUGAGGCGUGAUGACGAGGCACUACGGUGCUGAAGCAACAAAUGCCCUGCUUCCAGGAAAAGCCUCUAAGCAUCAGGUAACAUCAAAUCGUACCCCAAACCGACACAGGUGGUCAGGUAGAGAAUACCAAGGCGCUUGAGAGAACUCGGGUGAAGGAACUAGGCAAAAUGGUGCCGUAACUUCGGGAGAAGGCACGCUGAUAUGUAGGUGAAGUCCCUCGCGGAUGGAGCUGAAAUCAGUCGAAGAUACCAGCUGGCUGCAACUGUUUAUUAAAAACACAGCACUGUGCAAACACGAAAGUGGACGUAUACGGUGUGACGCCUGCCCGGUGCCGGAAGGUUAAUUGAUGGGGU
Molecule: ribosomal RNA, 1873 nt
Filed under: Escherichia coli
Lineage: Bacteria; Pseudomonadati; Pseudomonadota; Gammaproteobacteria; Enterobacterales; Enterobacteriaceae
Description: partial 23S ribosomal RNA
Rfam family: Bacterial large subunit ribosomal RNA
Source: RNAcentral